AUUACAGGCACAUGCCACCACGCCUGGAAAUUUUUUUUUUUUUUUUUUUUUUUGUUUUUUUUUUUUUUUUGGGAAAGUAAGACCAGGAGUGUUAACCAAAGCCAAGCACCACACACCCAAAUCUUAGAAAGCACAACUAUAGCCACCAGUUAUCUGGCCAUGUCACAAGACACCCUUUUUUCUCCCUUGUUAGAGGAGGACUCAAUUCCACAGCUCACCUUAGCAUUUGGAUUACGAUAAGGAGUCCACGCAAACCCCCUGAGACAAAUUUUUGUCUGAAACUCAAUGUCAAGCUUCAAGUCAAAGCUCUAGGAAAGAAAACUGUAUCUGAGGGAUCCAGAGGCAGAUAAUAACAGAAAUUAAAACGCACAACACAGGUGAACAUGGCUGAUUGCUGCCAAUUAAGCCAAGCUUCCCAUUUCAUGGAUAAAGCUCACACUAGUAUCACACUUAUCCAUAAAUGAAGUCUAGGGAAUUCAAGGCUAUUGACUGCAGAGGAUAUUGGGCAUAUGUGGGUAAGAGCAGAUCCUCCCACCUACUAGGCCCCCUGUUAAUAUGGUGAAAGCUGCUUUAACGCUUAUGUGUGGCGCCCUGUCGCAGUCACCAGGACUCAGGGAUACAAGGUCAGAACAAAGAAAGAGGAAGGCCUCACUUUCCCUCCCUCACAUACCCCAAGUUUUUGCUAGAAAGAGAAAGAAACCAGGGUCACCUGCUGCACUCUUUCUAGAGGAGUAGCCAUUCAUCUUCAGUCUGUAACUGCUUUCAAAUGCAUCCUGAACCCCUGGGACUCCUUUGAAAAUGAGUGUUUUUUUUUCCUUCCUCCUCUUCUGUCCCCUCUUUACUGAUAAGUAAUUGUGUCUCCGUACUACAGGACACUCCCCUCAGAUGCAUCCUCUAAACUAGAAACAGUUAACUUCCCAAACCUUAAACUGGUUGCCUUAGGAUUGGGCUCAGUGGAAGAAAACCCAGAAACCUGACAUGCUCCCAAACGGGCCUUUGGCUUCUCUUUCCCUGUGCAAACUGGUAAAAGGCCUUGGGAUUUUUGAGUUGUCGUUACCCGCCCCCAGCCCAAACCUUAUUUCGUUUUGAUACAUGUUUUCUAAUAACCCGGUUUGUCUCUUCUUGCCUUCAGGCCAUCCCACUCCAAAUGGUCAUGCAGUUGAAGCCUUGGAUGCUGGCCCCUUCUGCCAAGGACCCUUACAUAGACCUCUGAGGGAGCUCUGACUACCAUUUCCUCAAAACAGUGCCCCCUGUCAGCAGGAAGCAGUUAAGAUUGAUCUUCAUCCUUAUCCUUACUCUGAUGGCAGUGACAUGUACUUCUUCAGAGGGAGGAAUGAUAGCUGCAGGAGGAAAAUAACGGUGAAUAUCCCCAGAGAAUCUCCCACCGGCCUGCGUGAUGGAGGGAUGGGGUGGAGUCUCGGGAAAUUUGCGCUGUUUGCACUGGGGGAGGCUGGCCCCUUCUGUUCCUGGGUAGAACCUGGGAUUCAAACUGUGAAAUGGGGCCCCGUUAACAGGAACUUCUCUCACUUUUCUGAGAGGUUUUCUUCCUUUUCACACAAUAAAUUCCAUUCCCUCUCCCCUUCAAAGUGUCUGUGUGCCUAACUUUUCCUGGUCGUGUGACAAGAACCUGGCUUUUUUUCCUACAACACUGGCCUCAGGUGACCCACCCGCCUCAGCCUCCGAAAGUGCUAGGUGUGAGCCACCGCUCCCAGCCUGCAGCAGUUUUUG
This 1728-nucleotide long non-coding RNA is filed under the name Homo sapiens (human). Its description in RNAcentral is "HSALNT0299087". The record is from RNAcentral. Lineage: Eukaryota; Metazoa; Chordata; Mammalia; Primates; Hominidae.